UUUAGGGCUAGCCUCAAGUGAUGAUUGUUGGAGGUAGAGCACUGUUUGGACGAGGGGCCCCUCUCGGGUUACCGAAUUCAGACAAACUCCGAAUGCCAAUUAAUUUAACUUGGGAGUCAGAACAUGGGUGAUAAGGUCCGUGUUCGAAAGGGAAACAGCCCAGACCACCAGCUAAGGUCCCAAAAUAUAUGUUAAGUGGAAAAGGAUGUGGCGUUGCCCAGACAACUAGGAUGUUGGCUUAGAAGCAG
RNAcentral lists this ribosomal RNA (248 nucleotides) under Crypthecodinium cohnii. Its description in RNAcentral is "partial Bacterial large subunit ribosomal RNA". It matches the Rfam family "Bacterial large subunit ribosomal RNA", at positions 869 to 1115 of the family's 2925-position model. Lineage: Eukaryota; Dinophyceae; Gonyaulacales; Crypthecodiniaceae. The record is from RNAcentral.